AGCAGCCGCGGUAAUUCCAGCUCCAAUAGCGUAUAUUAAAGUUGUUGCAGUUAAAAAGCUCGUAGUUGAAUUUCGGGACUAACAGGUUGGUCGCGCCUUUGGUGUGUACUGGUCUAGUUGGUUUCUCCCUUCUGAUGAACCACGAUGUCAUUAAUUUGGUGUCGCGGGGAAUCAGGACUGUUACUUUGAAAAAAUUAGAGUGUUUAAAGCAGGCAUUAGCUUGAAUACAUUAGCAUGGAAUAAUGAAAUAGGACGUUUGAUCUUAUUUUGUUGGUUUU
Molecule: ribosomal RNA, 278 nt
Filed under: Glomeromycota sp.
Lineage: Eukaryota; Fungi; Glomeromycota
Description: partial small subunit ribosomal RNA
Rfam family: Eukaryotic small subunit ribosomal RNA
Source: RNAcentral